Zingiber officinale is the source of this 2169-nucleotide RNA transcript. It is a transcript of the gene named shikimate kinase 3, chloroplastic-like, with no coding region annotated. The transcript is spliced from 9 exons. NCBI's taxonomy places the organism in Eukaryota, Viridiplantae, Streptophyta, Magnoliopsida, Zingiberales, Zingiberaceae. The record is from RefSeq and is a predicted model, not a curated record.
UAUAAACACAGUUCGCGAAUGGGUGACUCCGCGCCUGGGUGAGCGGCCUCCUUUUUCAUCUACUUACCUCUUAUCCUGCGCCGUUCACGCACCAUAUGCCUUGGCGGCGCGGUGGAGCUCCCCGGCCGACGGUUGUUGGCCGGAUGUUGAUCCUAUAAUUUAUCCACCAUCUCGAUCCGAUCUCACCAAGAUAGCUUUGCUCGAGCUCAAAGUUGCCGAAUUAGCGUGAUUUGACCUUCCGAUCGAGUUUGACGCGGUGCUGAGUAGUGCCAGAUCGGUCUCCCUCGUAAGGAUUGGAUGAAUCGAGAUUAGGGAGAGAAAAAAGGAGGGAUCUUUUCAUCUUGGGUAGCCUUGCGGAGAUGGAGGUUGGUGCGGUUUUGGAUCUGCAACCCUGCUCUUGGGUCGGUUCGGAGGCUAAAGGACGGAGAAGUAGUGGAGGUUCUUGGAGGUUUCAGGACCCAUACAGAGAGGAGCGAAGGUCUUCUAUGGUUAGAUUUUGUAAUCGGAGGGAUAACAGAGCCUCUGUUCGAUCUGGCCACGUCGAGCUCAAGGUUUCUUGUUGCUAUAAGAAGCCCCAAGAUCAUUUCAGUCAAAGAGGCACAGAGACCUACCACAAGUCAAUUGAUGAAGCUCUCUUACUUAAGAGGAAAUCAGAAGAAGUUCUCCCUUACUUGAAUGAGCGUUGUAUAUAUCUAGUUGGAAUGAUGGGUUCAGGUAAGACUACAAUAGGAAAGAUCUUAUCCGAAGUUCUACGUUAUUCAUUCUUUGACAGUGACAAAUUGGUCGAACAAACAGUUGGUGUAUCUUCAGUUGCCCAGAUAUUUAAGCAGUACAGUGAAGCCUUCUUCAGGGACAAUGAGAGUGAGGUCCUGAAGGAUUUAUCUUCAAUGAGUCGUUUGGUAGUUGCAACUGGUGGUGGAGCGGUUAUUCGUCCUAUUAACUGGAAAUUUAUGAAGCAUGGGAUAUCCGUCUGGCUAGAUGUUCCUCUAGAAGCUCUCGCUAGGCGGAUUGCUGAUGUAGGUACUGAUUCUCGCCCUCUUCUGCAUUAUGAACCUGGUGAUCCUUACUCCAAGGCCUUAGCAAAGCUUACUUCUCUAUUUGAAGAAAGGGGCGAGGCAUAUGCGAAUGCCGAUGCAAGAGUCUCCCUUGGAGGUAAGCCUUCAUGCAGCUGUUAUGCUUCUUGUUUUCUAUUUGUUGCAACGUUUUGUUGCAAGUAUUACGCAUCUAUUAGUUUCCUUGCACUGAAAAAUUUGAGUUUCUUUUGUUCAUCUUCGUUAGGUUGCAGGAUUUGUGUUAGGUAUUCUCUCACUUACUCAAGACUACAAUAACCUCAGACUAUUUUCUUCAAUUUGAAUGCGACAGUCAUUAUGUUAAAGAUCUAAAUAUUUUAAUGACAUUACAUGGCAUAGAGUUGAAUGAUGGAAAAAGAUGGAUGCUACCUAACCAAAAUAGUUGUUGCUAACACGCCUUGUUAUUGUAGUGUUGUCAUUUCAAAGAUUGAAAUUUUGUGCUGAAAUUUCAAUCCUUGAAAUGAAAACACUAAAUAAUACGCGUGUUAGUGUCAACUAUUUGGGUCAGGCUUCUUGCAUAUUUUCCCAUCAUUCCAACAAAAAUCCAAGACAUGAAACUUAACACAGGGACACAUAUCUCAGUCACUUCUUUGUUUAUUGGCGCACCUGCAUGAAACUAGUACUGAUUUAUUUCUGCCAGUGAUUUAAACUCCUGCUUGGAGCGAGAGUUUAACCCUUAUUGUCAUUCACAAUCCAAUAACAUUAUAAAUACUCGUAGCAGAGUCAUAAUUCAAAGGAAUAAUUUUUUUUCUUCACCCAUUUUGCAGAGAUGGCAGCUAAAAAGGGGCAUGGAGAUGUCUCAACACUUACACCAACCGAUAUUGCUUUUGAGGCACUAUUGCAGAUUGAGAACUAUGUUAUGGACAAUGCAUAUGCUUCAAGUAGCCGCAAUAAUUUCACAGGCGCACGAAGAGAUUAGUUGAGACUCAUGUUUCACCAUGGAAAAGUUAUAAUUCUUGAAACUUGUUUUCUCAGUACAUGAUUUUUAUUCAUUCAAAAACAUCCUCGGUCAAAUCUCUAAGUGCUGUAUAGUCUCAAAUAAAAACCUUGUAGUCCAAAUCUCUAAAUUUGAAAAUAAGCUUGUCCUUUUACUUUCAAA